RNAcentral lists this unclassified non-coding RNA (167 nucleotides) under uncultured Ascomycota. RNAcentral describes it as "sequence contains ITS1". The record is from RNAcentral. Lineage: Eukaryota; Fungi; Ascomycota.
CAGAGUUGCAAAACUCCCUAAACCAUUGUGAACGUUACCUUUACCGUUGCUUCGGCGGGAGGCCCGGGUCCUGCCCGGCGCCCCUCGGCCCUCGCGGGCGCCCGCCGGAGGAAAACCAAACUAUUGCAUUGUAUGGCCUCUCUGAGUCUUCUGUACUGAAUAAGUCA